Molecule: ribosomal RNA, 431 nt
Filed under: Bemisia tabaci
Lineage: Eukaryota; Metazoa; Arthropoda; Insecta; Hemiptera; Aleyrodidae
Description: partial 16S ribosomal RNA
Source: RNAcentral
AUUUUAGAUAAAUUCUGCUCAAUGAGUAAGUUAAAUAGCUGCAGUAAAUUAACUGUACUAAGGUAGCAUAAUAAGUUGCUUUAUAAUUAAAAGCUUGAAUGAAAGAAAUAAUGUGAAAGAAGCUUUUUAAACUAAAAUAGUGAAAAUUAAUAUUUAAGUGAAAAAUCUUAAAUAGAAUCAAAAGACAAGAAGACCCUUUAGAACUUUACAAAUUGAUUUAAUAUCAUUUAGUUAAUUUGUUAAAUUGGGGAGAUUUUUAAAUAAAUAAAUCUUUAGAUAUAAAAAAAUGAUUUAAAUCAGAUUAAAUUAUCCAAAUGUGAAAUAAAACAAGUUACCUAAGGGAUAACAGCGCAAAAUUUUUGAGAAGUUCUCAUUUACAAAAUAAAUUGCGACCUCGAUGUUGGAUUAAGAACAACUUAUAAAGAAAAAUU